CUUUUUCAACUUUUACGCGCAAACGGACUGUAUUACAACCAACAACAAAAUACCGCAUGUUUGCCAUGUUUUGAGAACCGUCCUGUAAACACAGUGAUGAGAGAUUAGCAAUAGCAGGUGCAUCACGAUUGCAUUGACUUUCACACAAGUGUCCCUGGUUGUGAAAAUGAACCACCCGCCGACGCUUAUCCUACCUUGGGGGUUGAAGAGCUGGCUAGUUGCCGUCAGUCGCGCGGUUCUGCUUGAGGAGCCUCCAAAUGUCAUGGCGUUCAUAGCGUCUUACAGCGGCCAGCUUCUGCAAUUGAAGAAAGAACAUCCAAAUCUUGAUAUUCAAGAGCUCUCAUACAUCGCCAGAGAUUUAAGGGGAGGUCACACUAAGGACUACCAGGGAACCAUCUCCUUCACUGGUCUGGCGGAAUCUGUUUUGAGUGAAUGCUCUCACAAAAUAUCUGAGGAACGAGACAACGCAGCACCAGGUCUGUCUGCAUCUGAUACAUCAUCGAGCCAUGUACACUGUGAGGAGCCUGGCCACCAGGCCAUGGAGGAUAAUGCGGUCAGCAGUUCAGUGGUCCAGUGUGCCGUGCACCAGAAAGAUCCUUCAGUCUGCGGCGUGGUCGACGUUGAGAACACUGUGCUGAUCCGCACUUCCAGGGCUCCGUCCGAGCAUGUGGUUAUAGUUCACUCUAAGUGUCUCCCUGAGACGCUCAUCUUCCACAGCAAAGCCUUGCCUUCAUCCAACGGAUCCCACACAACAUGUGACCUGUCCCCUGCUCCUAGUCCUGUCCCUAGUGAUAAGGAAUGGGAGGAACCAGAGGGAGUGUCUAGUGUGGUCAUGUUUUAUAAGGUUCCCUUGUUUGAGGACCUGCCUCACCCACCGUCCGUGGGGGAACUCCCCUCUGUUGCUGUUGUGGAGACUGUGACUGAUGAGGAUAUAUCCUCAAGCAGUGACACAUUUCCCUCGCAGGAGAAAAUGUCUGGUACUCAAUCUGUUCAGGUCUUUUUCUCAGCAGCCUCUGAGGUAGAAUCAUCUGGUCAGAUGAGAAAUUCAACAAGCAGCUUUGAGGAUCUGGCUGUGGACAAAAUAUCUGAUAUGAUCAUACCUCAGAAGGCCUCUUCCUAUAAAGAGCUGCCUCAGUCAACAUCACCUAUAAAGCAAACUUCAGUUGUUUCCCCUGAAUGUUCGGGAAGUGAGAUUACUGCAAAAGCUCCAUCUGAAACAGAACUAGUUGAUGCAGCACAGAGCGUGCCCUCAGACAGGAUACCCAGUAGAGAGGAGAGUGUGGGGAGAACAGCAGAGACAGCAGAGAGACACACAUCUCCCAGAGUAUCACCAAGAGCUUCUCCACAAACUUCUCUGGUAUCAGCUCAUGUUGGUGAAUCCAGUCUGCCUAGGAUUCCCUCUGCACCAUCAAUGGACAGACAACCAGUUUCUCAAAGAGUUUCUCCACAAUCCAGUCAGUCCAGGAUUCCCCCUGCUCCAUCAAUGGAGGAGCUACUGGUGUGUCCAUCUGCUUCUGUUGUUAGAAUUUCACCAGCAGUUCCAAGAUCUUCAAGAAGUAGUUUGUCAGAAAGAGCUCCUUCUGAAACAGUAGUAGGGAGAACAGCAGAGACACGAGAAAAACACACAUCUCCCAGAAUAUCUCCACAAGCAUCUUCUGCGAUGAUUGAUGAUCAGGUGACUAAUCCGGAGACAUCUGAAAGAUUACUGACUACCUCAACUCUGCAUUCAGAAGAUUUCAAAUUUGGCGGUGCUGCCACAGAGCAUCAGAAUCCAGUAGAAGAACUGGGAUUGGGACCUUCACCUGCUGAGGAUGUUACUGAAGUAGCAGGGUGGGUCAAACCAGACAACAUAGAGACCAGCAAAUCAUCCGACUUGGUCAGUCCUCAACAUGUAGAGAAUGCACCAAUACCAGAAUUGGUCAGUCCUCAACAUGUAGAGAAUGCACCAACAUCAAGAUUGGCUUGUCAACCACAUGAAGAGGC
This is a long non-coding RNA of Oncorhynchus tshawytscha (Chinook salmon), 1983 nucleotides long. NCBI's taxonomy places the organism in Eukaryota, Metazoa, Chordata, Actinopteri, Salmoniformes, Salmonidae. The record is from Ensembl.